This 2933-nucleotide ribosomal RNA is filed under the name Kurthia zopfii. Its description in RNAcentral is "bacterial LSU rRNA". It matches the Rfam family "Bacterial large subunit ribosomal RNA". The record is from RNAcentral. Lineage: Bacteria; Bacillati; Bacillota; Bacilli; Caryophanales; Caryophanaceae.
AGGUUAAGUUAUUAAGGGCGCAUGGCGAAUGCCUUGGCACUAGAAGCCGAUGAAGGACGGCACUAACACCGAUAUGCUUCGGGGAGCUGUAAGUAAGCUUUGAUCCGGAGAUUUCCGAAUGGGGGAACCCACUGUUUUUAAUAGGACAGUAUCUUAACGUGAAUUCAUAGCGUUCUGAUGGCAGACUCAGGGAACUGAAACAUCUAAGUACCUGAAGGAAGAGAAAGAAAAAUCGAUUCCCUUAGUAGCGGCGAGCGAAACGGGAAGAGCCCAAACCAAGAAGCUUGCUUCUUGGGGUUGUAGGACACUCUACACGGAGUUACAAAAGAAUGAAUUAGACGAAGCGGCAUGGAAAGGCCCACCAUAGAAGGUAACAGUCCUGUAAUCAAAAGUUUAUUCCCUCCAGAGUGGAUCCUGAGUACGGCGGAACACGUGAAAUUCCGUCGGAAUCUGGGAGGACCAUCUCCCAAGGCUAAAUACUCUCUAGUGACCGAUAGUGAACCAGUACCGUGAGGGAAAGGUGAAAAGCACCCCGGAAGGGGAGUGAAAUAGAUCCUGAAACCAUGUGCCUACAAGUAGUUAGAGCCCGUUAAUGGGUGAUAGCGUGCCUUUUGUAGAAUGAACCGGCGAGUUACGAUUACAUGCAAGGUUAAGCUGAUAAGGCGGAGCCGCAGCGAAAGCGAGUCUGAAUAGGGCGAAUGAGUAUGUGGUUGUAGACCCGAAACCAGGUGAUCUACCCAUGUCCAGGUUGAAGGUAAGGUAACACUUACUGGAGGACCGAACCCACGUACGUUGAAAAGUGCGGGGAUGAGGUGUGGGUAGCGGAGAAAUUCCAAUCGAACCUGGAGAUAGCUGGUUCUCUCCGAAAUAGCUUUAGGGCUAGCCUCGUGUUUAAGAAUCUUGGAGGUAGAGCACUGUUUGGACUAGGGGUUCAUCCCGAAUUACCGAAUUCAGACAAACUCCGAAUGCCAAUGAUUUAUACACGGGAGUCAGACUGCGAGUGAUAAGAUCCGUAGUCAAGAGGGAAACAGCCCAGACCACCAGCUAAGGUCCCAAAGUAAUCGUUAAGUGGAAAAGGAUGUGACGUUGCUUAGACAACCAGGAUGUUGGCUCAGAAGCAGCCAUCAUUUAAAGAGUGCGUAAUAGCUCACUGGUCGAGUGACGCUGCGCCGAAAAUGUAUCGGGGCUAAACGAUUCACCGAAGCUGUGGAUGGACAUCUUAGAUGUCCGUGGUAGGAGAGCGUUCUAAGUGCUGUGAAGUCAGACCGGAAGGACUGGUGGAGCGCUUAGAAGUGAGAAUGCCGGUAUGAGUAGCGAAAGACGGGUGAGAAUCCCGUCCACCGAAUGACUAAGGUUUCCUGAGGAAGGCUCGUCCGCUCAGGGUUAGUCGGGACCUAAGCCGAGGCCGAUAGGCGUAGGCGAUGGAUAACAGGUUGAUAUUCCUGUACCACCAAUCUACCAUUUGAGUGAUGGGGGGACGCAGUAGGAUAGGGUAAGCGCGCUGUUGGUUAUGCGCGUCCAAGCAGUAAGGUGUGGAAGUAGGCAAAUCCGCUUCCUGUAACAUUGAGCUGUGAUGGCGAGUCAAUUAUGACGAAGUUCCUGAUUUCACACUGCCAAGAAAAGCCUCUAGCGAGGUAGAUAGGUGCCCGUACCGCAAACCGACACAGGUAGUCGAGGAGAGAAUCCUAAGGUGAGCGAGAGAACUCUCGUUAAGGAACUCGGCAAAAUGACCCCGUAACUUCGGGAGAAGGGGUGCUCUAGUAGGGUGAAAGCCCGAGAGAGCCGCAGUGAAUAGGCCCAGGCGACUGUUUAGCAAAAACACAGGUCUCUGCAAAAUCGUAAGAUGACGUAUAGGGGCUGACGCCUGCCCGGUGCUGGAAGGUUAAGGGGAUUGCUUAGCGUAAGCGAAGGUGAGAACCGAAGCCCCAGUAAACGGCGGCCGUAACUAUAACGGUCCUAAGGUAGCGAAAUUCCUUGUCGGGUAAGUUCCGACCCGCACGAAAGGCGUAACGAUCUGGGCACUGUCUCAACGAGAGACUCGGUGAAAUUAUAGUACCUGUGAAGAUGCAGGUUACCCGCGACAGGACGGAAAGACCCCGUGGAGCUUUACUGUAGCCUGAUAUUGAAUUUUGGUACACUUUGUACAGGAUAGGUAGGAGCCUGAGAGACCGGAGCGCUAGCUUCGGUGGAGGCGUUGUUGGGAUACUACCCUAAGUGUAUUGAACUUCUAACCCUUACCCCUGAUCGGGGUAGGAGACAGUGUCAGGCGGACAGUUUGACUGGGGCGGUCGCCUCCUAAAAGGUAACGGAGGCGCCCAAAGGUUCCCUCAGAAUGGUUGGAAAUCAUUCGCAGAGUGUAAAGGCACAAGGGAGCUUGACUGCGAGACCUACAAGUCGAGCAGGGUCGAAAGACGGGCUUAGUGAUCCGGUGGUUCCGCAUGGAAGGGCCAUCGCUCAACGGAUAAAAGCUACCCCGGGGAUAACAGGCUUAUCUCCCCCAAGAGUCCACAUCGACGGGGAGGUUUGGCACCUCGAUGUCGGCUCAUCGCAUCCUGGGGCUGUAGUCGGUCCCAAGGGUUGGGCUGUUCGCCCAUUAAAGCGGUACGCGAGCUGGGUUCAGAACGUCGUGAGACAGUUCGGUCCCUAUCCGUCGUGGGCGUAGGAAAUUUGAGAGGAGCUGUCCUUAGUACGAGAGGACCGGGAUGGACAUACCUCUGGUGUACCAGUUGUCUUGCCAAAGGCAUCGCUGGGUAGCUAUGUAUGGACGGGAUAAGUGCUGAAAGCAUCUAAGCAUGAAGCCCCCCUCAAGAUGAGAUUUCCCAUUACGCAAGUAAGUAAGAUCCCUUGAAGACGACAAGGUAGAUAGGUUCGAGGUGGAAGUAUGGUGACAUAUGGAGCUGACGAAUACUAAUAGAUCGAGGACUUAACCACAA